Molecule: transfer RNA, 85 nt
Filed under: Armatimonadota bacterium
Lineage: Bacteria; Bacillati; Armatimonadota
Description: Armatimonadetes bacterium (sediment metagenome) tRNA-Tyr
Rfam family: tRNA
About the family: Transfer RNA (tRNA) molecules are approximately 80 nucleotides in length. Their secondary structure includes four short double-helical elements and three loops (D, anti-codon, and T loops).
Source: RNAcentral
GCCGGGUUGGCCGAGUGGUCAAUGGCACCUGACUGUAAAUCAGGCGGCACCGCCUACGGAGGUUCGAAUCCUUCACCCGGCACCC